CAGCCGCCACGGUAAUACGUAGGGUGCAAGCGUUAAUCGGAAUUACUGGGCGUAAAGCGUGCGCAGGCGGUGUUGUAAGACUGAUGUGAAAUCCCCGGGCUCAACCUGGGAACUGCAUUGGUGACUGCAACGCUGGAGUGCGGCAGAGGGGGAUGGAAUUCCGCGUGUAGCAGUGAAAUGCGUAGAUAUGCGGAGGAACACCGAUGGCGAAGGCAAUCCCCUGGGCCUGCACUGACGCUCAUGCACGAAAGCGUGGGGAGCAAACAGGAUUAGAUACCCCCGUAGUCCCUGUCUCUUAUAC
Molecule: ribosomal RNA, 301 nt
Filed under: uncultured bacterium
Lineage: Bacteria
Description: partial 16S ribosomal RNA
Rfam family: Bacterial small subunit ribosomal RNA
Source: RNAcentral